Molecule: ribosomal RNA, 780 nt
Filed under: Brevibacterium aureum
Lineage: Bacteria; Bacillati; Actinomycetota; Actinomycetes; Micrococcales; Brevibacteriaceae
Description: bacterial SSU rRNA
Rfam family: Bacterial small subunit ribosomal RNA
Source: RNAcentral
CAGGACGAACGCUGGCUGCGUGCUUAACACAUGCAAGUCGAACGCUGAAGCCUGGUGCUUGCACCGGGUGGAUGAGUGGCGAACGGGUGAGUAACACGUGAGUAACCUGCCCCCGAUUUCGGGAUAAGCCCGGGAAACUGGGUCUAAUACCGGAUAUGACCAGAGGACGCAUGUUCUGUGGUGGAAAGUUUUUCGAUCGGGGAUGGGCUCGCGGCCUAUCAGCUUGUUGGUGGGGUAAUGGCCUACCAAGGCGACGACGGGUAGCCGGCCUGAGAGGGCGACCGGCCACACUGGGACUGAGACACGGCCCAGACUCCUACGGGAGGCAGCAGUGGGGAAUAUUGCACAAUGGGGGAAACCCUGAUGCAGCGACGCAGCGUGCGGGAUGACGGCCUUCGGGUUGUAAACCGCUUUCAGCAGGGAAGAAGCGAAAGUGACGGUACCUGCAGAAGAAGUACCGGCUAACUACGUGCCAGCAGCCGCGGUAAUACGUAGGGUACGAGCGUUGUCCGGAAUUAUUGGGCGUAAAGAGCUCGUAGGUGGUUGGUCACGUCUGCUGUGGAAACGCAACGCUUAACGUUGCGCGGGCAGUGGGUACGGGCUGACUAGAGUGCAGUAGGGGAGUCUGGAAUUCCUGGUGUAGCGGUGAAAUGCGCAGAUAUCAGGAGGAACACCGGUGGCGAAGGCGGGACUCUGGGCUGUAACUGACACUGAGGAGCGAAAGCAUGGGGAGCGAACAGGAUUAGAUACCCUGGUAGUCCAUGCCGUAAACGUUGGGCA